GCUGAGGUCUAUCCUGAUGGGGCUUUUUCUGUAGACCUACACAUCAUUGGAAAUGCCUCACAGAGUAAGUAUGUGGUUUCCUUUACUCUCAGAACUACAUGUUAGAUCUGUGGGAAAGAACUACAAGACAGAG
Molecule: small nucleolar RNA, 133 nt
Organism: Vicugna pacos (alpaca)
Lineage: Eukaryota; Metazoa; Chordata; Mammalia; Artiodactyla; Camelidae
Source: Ensembl